UCAGCUCGUGCCGUGAGGUGUUGGGUUAAGUCCCGCAACGAGCGCAACCCCCAUCGUCGGUUGCACAUGUCCGACGAGACUGCCACGAUCAACGUGGAGGAAGGCGGGGAUGACGUCAAGUCAGCACGGCCCUGACAUCCUGGGCGACACACACGCUACAAUGGUCGGGACAACGAGUCGCCAACCCGCGAGGGGGAGCCAAUCUCCUAAACCCGAUCUCAGUUCAGAUUGCAGGCUGCAACCCGCCUGCAUGAAGGAGGAGUUGCUAGUAACCGUGGGUCAGCACACCACGGUGAAUACGUUCCCGGGUCUUGUA
Molecule: ribosomal RNA, 316 nt
Filed under: uncultured bacterium
Lineage: Bacteria
Description: bacterial SSU rRNA
Rfam family: Bacterial small subunit ribosomal RNA
Source: RNAcentral